GGGUUGUGAGGUUAAGCGACUAAGCGUACACGGUGGAUGCCCUGGCAGUCAGAGGCGAUGAAGGACGUGCUAAUCUGCGAUAAGCGUCGGUAAGGUGAUAUGAACCGUUAUAACCGGCGAUUUCCGAAUGGGGAAACCCAGUGUGUUUCGACACACUAUCAUUAACUGAAUCCAUAGGUUAAUGAGGCGAACCGGGGGAACUGAAACAUCUAAGUACCCCGAGGAAAAGAAAUCAACCGAGAUUCCCCCAGUAGCGGCGAGCGAACGGGGAGCAGCCCAGAGCCUGAAUCAGUGUGUGUGUUAGUGGAAGCGUCUGGAAAGGCGCGCGAUACAGGGUGACAGCCCCGUACACAAAAAUGCACAUGCUGUGAGCUCGAUGAGUAGGGCGGGACACGUGGUAUCCUGUCUGAAUAUGGGGGGACCAUCCUCCAAGGCUAAAUACUCCUGACUGACCGAUAGUGAACCAGUACCGUGAGGGAAAGGCGAAAAGAACCCCGGCGAGGGGAGUGAAAAAGAACCUGAAACCGUGUACGUACAAGCAGUGGGAGCACGCUUAGGCGUGUGACUGCGUACCUUUUGUAUAAUGGGUCAGCGACUUAUAUUCUGUAGCAAGGUUAACCGAAUAGGGGAGCCGAAGGGAAACCGAGUCUUAACUGGGCGUUAAGUUGCAGGGUAUAGACCCGAAACCCGGUGAUCUAGCCAUGGGCAGGUUGAAGGUUGGGUAACACUAACUGGAGGACCGAACCGACUAAUGUUGAAAAAUUAGCGGAUGACUUGUGGCUGGGGGUGAAAGGCCAAUCAAACCGGGAGAUAGCUGGUUCUCCCCGAAAGCUAUUUAGGUAGCGCCUCGUGAAUUCAUCUCCGGGGGUAGAGCACUGUUUCGGCAAGGGGGUCAUCCCGACUUACCAACCCGAUGCAAACUGCGAAUACCGGAGAAUGUUAUCACGGGAGACACACGGCGGGUGCUAACGUCCGUCGUGAAGAGGGAAACAACCCAGACCGCCAGCUAAGGUCCCAAAGUCAUGGUUAAGUGGGAAACGAUGUGGGAAGGCCCAGACAGCCAGGAUGUUGGCUUAGAAGCAGCCAUCAUUUAAAGAAAGCGUAAUAGCUCACUGGUCGAGUCGGCCUGCGCGGAAGAUGUAACGGGGCUAAACCAUGCACCGAAGCUGCGGCAGCGACGCUUAUGCGUUGUUGGGUAGGGGAGCGUUCUGUAAGCCUGUGAAGGUGUGCUGUGAGGCAUGCUGGAGGUAUCAGAAGUGCGAAUGCUGACAUAAGUAACGAUAAAGCGGGUGAAAAGCCCGCUCGCCGGAAGACCAAGGGUUCCUGUCCAACGUUAAUCGGGGCAGGGUGAGUCGACCCCUAAGGCGAGGCCGAAAGGCGUAGUCGAUGGGAAACAGGUUAAUAUUCCUGUACUUGGUGUUACUGCGAAGGGGGGACGGAGAAGGCUAUGUUGGCCGGGCGACGGUUGUCCCGGUUUAAGCGUGUAGGCUGGUUUUCCAGGCAAAUCCGGAAAAUCAAGGCUGAGGCGUGAUGACGAGGCACUACGGUGCUGAAGCAACAAAUGCCCUGCUUCCAGGAAAAGCCUCUAAGCAUCAGGUAACAUCAAAUCGUACCCCAAACCGACACAGGUGGUCAGGUAGAGAAUACCAAGGCGCUUGAGAGAACUCGGGUGAAGGAACUAGGCAAAAUGGUGCCGUAACUUCGGGAGAAGGCACGCUGAUAUGUAGGUGA
Molecule: ribosomal RNA, 1731 nt
Filed under: Escherichia coli
Lineage: Bacteria; Pseudomonadati; Pseudomonadota; Gammaproteobacteria; Enterobacterales; Enterobacteriaceae
Description: partial 23S ribosomal RNA
Rfam family: Bacterial large subunit ribosomal RNA
Source: RNAcentral